GGGGAUAACACUUGGAAACAGGUGCUAAUACCGCAUAACCAUAGUUACCGCAUGGUAACUAUGUAAAAGGUGGCUAUGCUACCGCUUUUGGAUGGGCCCGCGACGCAUUAGCUAGUUGGUGGGGUAAAGGCUUACCAAGGCAAUGAUGCGUAGCCGAACUGAGAGGUUGAUCGGCCACAUUGGGACUGAGACACGGCCCAAACUCCUACGGGAGGCAGCAGUAGGGAAUCUUCCACAAUGGGCGAAAGCCUGAUGGAGCAACGCCGCGUGGGUGAAGAAGGUCUUCGGAUCGUAAAACCCUGUUGUUAGAGAAGAAAGUGCGUGAGAGUAACUGUUCACGUUUCGACGGUAUCUAACCAGAAAGCCACGGCUAACUACGUGCCAGCAGCCGCGGUAAUACGUAGGUGGCAAGCGUUAUCCGGAUUUAUUGGGCGUAAAGAGAACGCAGGCGGUCUUUUAAGUCUGAUGUGAAAGCCUUCGGCUUAACCGGAGUAGUGCAUUGGAAACUAGGAGACUUGAGUGCAGAAGAGGAGAGUGGAACUCCAUGUGUAGCGGUGAAAUGCGUAGAUAUAUGGAAGAACACCAGUGGCGAAAGCGGCUCUCUGGUCUGUAACUGACGCUGAGGUUCGAAAGCGUGGGUAGCAAACAGGAUUAGAUACCCUGGUAGUCCACGCCGUAAACGAUGA
Molecule: ribosomal RNA, 686 nt
Filed under: uncultured bacterium
Lineage: Bacteria
Description: bacterial SSU rRNA
Rfam family: Bacterial small subunit ribosomal RNA
Source: RNAcentral